CUUUUCUCUAUUGAAGAACAUAGGUUACACACACACAGAACUCACUCACUACUCGCUCCCUCUCUCUCUCACGCACGGCGUCGGCCACCACCGGGGUCUCUCUCUCACGCACGGCGUCGGCCACCACCGGGGUCUCUCUCUCAGGCACGGUGCAGAGAUGGGAACCAAUGGUUUUCAGAAGAAGAAAAGGAAAAAUAACAAGCUUACAGAGCUUUCCCAAGAAGAUAGAAAAUUAAACAAAAUUGUUAUCGAACCUCAAGAGGACCAACAUUCAGAGAAGAGAAAAAGGAAGAAGGAACAUAAUGUUGGUGUUGGCAACUAUGUUCAAUUUCCUUUUGAUGACGAUACUUGAAUAAGAAAAGGGAAAAAGAAGAAAGGUGAGAAAUCAGCAAGGAAGGGAAAAGUGAAGAAUGCAGAGAACAACAAUGCUUUGAUUGAAAACAAUGAGCAAAUUGAUUGCGAGCCUGCUGACGAUUUAAAUGAACAUGGUACACUAAACUCUGAUACAUUUGUUUCUUUUCCUAGAUUCCGGAAUUUUAUGUAGGCUAGGAUAUUCUUUUAGUUUUUUCUUGUGUUUUGGGGGCAUAAACGGGUAGAAGGGUAGUAAAAUGUGUGUGCCUUGAGUCUUAAGGUUAGGAUAUUGUUCUUUUAUAAAAGUAGAAACAAAUAGAAAAUGGUAAUUUUCACACAUAAGCAAGAUCAAGUACCAUUUUUUUUUAUAAUUUAUUUAUUGCUUUAAGAAAUUUACCUUUAUCUGUGUUAUGAAAUCACAACCCAAAGCAUAUUGUUCGCUCUAGGGAAUUUGUCAUAUUAUCAAGCAACACCAUUUUCAUUGUGCUCUUCUGAAAAUUGUCUUUUAAUUAGGUAUUUCUUCUUUAGUAGGCAGGUCAAAGAAAUCUUUGAAGAAGAAAAAAUAUCGAAAUUCUUCCAAGGAAGAUGACUCUGCACAGGAUAAAUUAGAAGAAAAGUAGGUAUCCUUCUAUUUUUACCCAACAUUUUAAAAUUGUUAAUUGAUACCCACUUUUCUAAUCACAAUACCUAUUUUACCCUUUCUAGGUUUUGAAAUGCAAACCACAACCCAUUAAACUGUAAACCACAACUUUUUAAAAUAUAAAUGUGGAAGUUAGUUAAGUUAUUUAGUAUGUCACUUAGCAGCUCGACAACCUUUUUGCAUAUUUUUCAAACACAUUUUUUUUUUGGUCAAUACAGUUAGCUCUCUUGUAUAAAGCCCUUGCCUUUACUAUCAUUGUUGAGACGUUCAUUUUAUUCUUUCAUCUGUAAAAUUCUUCCCGUAUAAGAUUCUUGGAUUCAUGUUUCUCCAAGAACCAAGAAUCUCUGUUUUGUAAGGAGUUUUUGAUCUCCAUUGUUUGUAAUCGAGACUGAAUAAUUGAGCUAAGUGGCUAAUAAAGACUACAAGCCUUAUAGGUUGUUCUCCCGUGGAGUAGACAAUAGAUUCAACAUCUCUUGACCAUGUAAUUUUGUGAGUUGUAUUUACUUUGCUAUUGUUUUAUCAUUUCUCAUUUUUAUGUUUGUGAUUAGAUGCUGUGCUUAGUCACUUGUUUGUUCUUGUUUUGUGUGGUUUGAUCACCACAAGUGGUACCAGAAGCCAGGUUUGAGGAUCAAGAACUGUCUUUAUCUCAAUCAAGAUUACAUCAAGAAUGAGUUCAACAAAGUUUGAAGUUGAUAAGUUCACUAGGGAGAAUGAUUUCAGUCUUUGGAGAAUCAAAAUGAGAGCACUGUUAGUGCCUCAGAGAAUUUCAGAAGUCAUUGAAGAGGAGGCUUUCAAGGAUUCGAAAGAAGAUAAAAAAAGAUUAAAGAGCUUCAGACCAAGGCUCACAGUGUCAUUCUUCUAAGUCUGGGAGAUGGAGAUGAAGUUCUUCGAGAAGUCUCACAUGAAGAGACUGCUAUUGGGUUAUGGAAUAAGUUAGCUGUCAUCUACUUGAAGAAAACUCUGGCCAAUAAACUGUAUCUGAAGAAAAGAUUGUACAUGCUAAGAAUGGAUGAAACUCAUGAACUCAGAAAACAUCUUGAUGAGUUCAACAGAAUAGUUCUUAAACUUAAGAACAUUGGUUUCAAAAUCGAUGAGGAGGAUUAAGGGAUUGUCUUACUGAGUUCUUUACCAAAAUCAUAUGAGCAAUUUUUUGGCACCAUGCUCUAUGGAAAAGAAACUUUAACAAUGUCAGAAGUCAAAGCUGCAUUAAAAUUCAAAAGAAACCCAAAAUAGAUCGAAAGACAAGAAUGACUCAAAUGGAUACGGGCUUAUGGUCCGAGGCAGAUCAGAAAAGAGAGAAAAUAGGGGUUUCAAGAAUAACAACAGUAAUGGGAAUCAUCAGAAUAACGGUAGUAACAGAAAUCAUGGGGGUCAUCGAUCCAAGUCAAGGUUCAGACAUUAAAAGUUUUGCAAUUAUUGUAAGAAAUAAGAUCAUUACAAAGAUGAGUGCUACUCGCUAAAAAAUAAGAACAACAAAGAUAAGAACAGAGAUAAGAAUGACAAAGGCAAUAGAGGUAAAGCAGGUACUGUGACAGAUGGCUAUGAAUCAGUCGAUGUAGUGGUUGUUGCUAAUUCAGAUUCGAGACAAGAAUGGAUUUUGGACUCUGGUUGUACUUUUCACAUGUGCCUAGAUAAGAGCUUGUUCAAUUAUCUUGAAGAGUAAGCUAGUUGUAAUCUAAACUUAGAAGAAAAAAAGAAAAGAAAAUAAUGAGCCAUAAUUAUUAUUCAACGAAGUUUAAUUAUUCUUA
This is a long non-coding RNA of Humulus lupulus (European hop), 2739 nucleotides long. RefSeq lists it as uncharacterized. The record is from RefSeq and is a predicted model, not a curated record. Lineage: Eukaryota; Viridiplantae; Streptophyta; Magnoliopsida; Rosales; Cannabaceae. The transcript has 4 exons.